This 73-nucleotide transfer RNA is filed under the name Canis lupus familiaris (dog). It matches the Rfam family "tRNA". Rfam says of the family: Transfer RNA (tRNA) molecules are approximately 80 nucleotides in length. The record is from Rfam by way of RNAcentral. Lineage: Eukaryota; Metazoa; Chordata; Mammalia; Carnivora; Canidae. RNAcentral also lists the same sequence under 2 other names.
GCCUGGCUGGCUUAGAUGGUGGAGCAUGUGACUCUCAAUCUUGGGGUCAUGGGUUCAAGCCCCACAUUGGGCA